UUCCGGUUGAUCCUGCCGGAGGCCACCGCUAUCGGGAUGCGACUAAGCCAUGCGAGUCGUGAGUCUUCGGGACUCGGCGAAUCGCUCAGUAACACGUGGACAACCUGCCCUCGAGAGGGGAAUAACCCCGGGAAACUGGGACUAAUUCCCUAUAAGUCUGGGAUGCUGGAAUGCGCCCAGGCCGAAACGCUCAGGCGCUCGAGGAUGGGUCUGCGGCCGAUUAGGUAGUUGCAGGGGUAACGUCCCUGCAAGCCAGUAAUCGGUACGGGCUCUGAGAGGAAGGAGCCCGGAGAUGGACUCUGAGACAACAGUCCAGGCCCUACGGGGCGCAGCAGGCGCGAAACCUUUACAAUGCGGGCGACCGCGAUAAGGGGAUCCCGAGUGCCCGCGCACUGCGUGGGCUGUCCCCGAGCCUAAAAAGCUCGGGUUAGGAAGGACCGGGCAAGACCGGUGCCAGCCGCCGCGGUAACACCGGCGGUCCGAGUGGUGGUCGAUAUUAUUGGGCCUAAAGCGUCCGUAGCCUGCCGGGUAAGUCUCUCGGGAAAUCCGUUCGCUCAACGUACGGAAUUCCGAGGGAAACUACUCGGCUAGGGGCCGGAAGGGGCUGCGGGUACGUCGGGGGUAGGGGUGAAAUCCUGUAAUCCUCGACGGACCACCUGUGGCGAAAGCUCGCAGCUGGAACGGACCCGACGGUGAGGGACGAAAGCCAGGGGCACGAACCGGAUUAGAUACCCGGGUAGUCCUGGCCGUAAACGAUGCCCGCUCGGUGCCGGUGGUGGUACGUCCGCCAUCAGUGCCCUAGUGAAGACGUGAAGCGGGCCGCCUGGGAAGUACGUCCGCAAGGAUGAAACUUAAAGGAAUUGGCGGG
This 868-nucleotide ribosomal RNA is filed under the name uncultured archaeon. RNAcentral's name for it is "bacterial SSU rRNA". It matches the Rfam family "Archaeal small subunit ribosomal RNA", at positions 1 to 872 of the family's 1478-position model. The record is from RNAcentral.